GACGAACCGUGCGAACGUUGUUCGGAAUCACUGGGCUUAAAGGGCGCGUAGGCGGUCAAUCAAGUCUGGGGUGAAAUCUUUCGGCUUAACCGGAAAAGUGCCUUGGAUACUGAUUGACUCGAGGGAGGUAGGGCAGCUGGAACUUCCGGUGGAGCGGUGAAAUGCGUUGAUAUCGGAAGGAACGCCGGUGGCGAAAGCGAGCUGCUGGACCUUUUCUAACGCUGAUGCGCGAAAGCUAGGGGAGCAAACGGGAUUAGAUACCCGGGUAGU
This 270-nucleotide ribosomal RNA is filed under the name uncultured bacterium. Its description in RNAcentral is "partial 16S ribosomal RNA". It matches the Rfam family "Bacterial small subunit ribosomal RNA", at positions 524 to 794 of the family's 1533-position model. The record is from RNAcentral.